AAUUUAACUUUUUGUAGUAUUGUUUUUACUGUUUCAUGUUAUCAUCUAAUCGUAUUUUUAUUAAACAAUUUCCAAUUAAUUAUUCAAUUUUCUCAGUUUAAUUAUUCAAUUCACGUUUAUUGUUAAUCCUCCACAAAAAUGAUUAAUGCUUGAAUGUUUGUACAGAUGGAACAUACUUUAGAGCAAAGAUAUUACGCGAAUACCUAAAGAUGCAAGUUAUUGAAAAUGUUUUUGUUCAAACCGGUCCAGUUUUCACCAGCGGAUAUUUUACAUAUUUACGUUAUUAAUCAUUAAGACGACGACUUCUUGAUAAUCUAAAAAUAAUUGCUUCCAAACUAUGUACUUAAAAUUAGCGAUAAUCCAACGAUACAUGAAGAGCAAUAAAGAAAUCUUGUCUAAGUCCUCUACGUUGGCAGUUUUGCGUGCAAAGCAAUUAAAUCGUCAAGAUUAUAACCAUUGGAAUAGAAUCAAUCAACAAACUGAUAACAAUUGUGAAUAACAAAGUCUGAGAAAAGGUCUAAAGAGAACCAACAAUAGACUGAAGUCAAACAAAGCAAGUUCAUCAAUCAAUCGGAGGAUCACCAAAUGGCCAAAUAAACCAGAUUAACCAAGCCAACCAAAUUUCAAUUAUAGCUGAAUCAACAUUGAUAAACCAAAAAGUCAUGUUUACUGUCAAUCCAAAUUUCUAAUGAUGAAAGCCAAUCCAGCAAUCAAUUGAUUAUGUGAUUACCAUAACGAGCUUGAACGAUGAAAUGUUACUAAAAUCAAGGAAAUGCUGUUGACAAAACAAAGCGCACAAAAGCACCAAAGAUACACUUCUGGGAAUUCAUUUGGCCUGAUUUCGUAUCGUUGGUAACCUCAUUAACAGCUAUCAUCAUCAUCUGUAUCAUUAUUAUAAUUGUUUCUAACUCAUCUGUUCAAUAUAUUUCAUCAUAAUUUCCCCGUUGAUUCCAGUCUAUUCGCUUCGAUUAACUUGUCAUCUAAAAAUACAGUAAAAACACAGCACAUAAUCCUCCAUAGAUAACAUUUACCGAAACUAAUUAUAAAUCUGUUAAAGGCCUGAUGUAAGCCUAACUCGAAAUUAUUAAUAAUCACUUUUAUUUAUGUACAGUUUAUACAUAACCUGUAUAACAAUUAAAAAAAGCCCAGAACAUAAUUAUCCAA
Molecule: long non-coding RNA, 1164 nt
Organism: Tetranychus urticae (two-spotted spider mite)
Lineage: Eukaryota; Metazoa; Arthropoda; Arachnida; Trombidiformes; Tetranychidae
Source: RefSeq, a predicted model, not a curated record